This 804-nucleotide ribosomal RNA is filed under the name uncultured Pelagibacteraceae bacterium. RNAcentral's name for it is "bacterial SSU rRNA". It matches the Rfam family "Bacterial small subunit ribosomal RNA", at positions 34 to 886 of the family's 1533-position model. The record is from RNAcentral. Lineage: Bacteria; Pseudomonadati; Pseudomonadota; Alphaproteobacteria; Candidatus Pelagibacterales; Candidatus Pelagibacteraceae.
CGCUGGCGGCACGCCUAACACAUGCAAGUCGAACGAAGUAGCAAUACUUAGUGGCAGACGGGUGAGUAACAUGUAGGUAUCUACCCUUUGGCCUGGAAUAACACGAGGAAACUUGUGCUAAUACCGGAUAAGUCUUUACGGAGAAAGCUUUAUGCACCAUUGGAUGAGCCUGCACUUGAUUAGUUAGUUGGUAGGGUAACGGCCUACCAAGACUUUGAUCAAUAGCUGAUUUGAGAGGAUGAUCAGCCACAUUGGGACUGAGACACGGCCCAAACUCCUACGGGAGGCAGCAGUGGGGAAUCUUGCACAAUGGAGGAAACUCUGAUGCAGCGAUGCCGCGUGAGUGAAGAAGGCCUUUGGGUUGUAAAGCUCUUUCGUCGGGGAAGAAAAUGACUGUACCCGAAUAAGAAGGUCCGGCUAACUUCGUGCCAGCAGCCGCGGUAAUACGAAGGGACCUAGCGUAGUUCGGAAUUACUGGGCUUAAAGAGUUCGUAGGUGGUUGAAAAAGUUGGUGGUGAAAUCCCAGAGCUUAACUCUGGAACUGCCAUCAAAACUUUUCAGCUAGAGUUUGAUAGAGGAAAGCAGAAUUUCUAGUGUAGAGGUGAAAUUCGUAGAUAUUAGAAAGAAUACCGAUUGCGAAGGCAGCUUUCUGGAUCAUUACUGACACUGAGGAACGAAAGCAUGGGUAGCGAAGAGGAUUAGAUACCCUCGUAGUCCAUGCCGUAAACGAUGUGUGUUAGACGUUGGAAAUUUAUUUUCUGUGUCGCAGCGAAAGCGAUAAACACACCGCCUGGGGAGUACGAC